UAGGGAAUCUUCGGCAAUGGGGGGAACCCUGACCGAGCAACGCCGCGUGAGUGAAGAAGGUUUUCGGAUCGGAAAGCUCUGUUGUUAAGGAAGAACGAGUGUGAGAAUGGAAAGUUCAUGCUGUGACGGUACUUAACCAGAAAGGGACGGCUAACUACGUGCCAGCAGCCGCGGUAAUACGUAGGUCCCGAGCGUUGUCCGGAUUUAUUGGGCGUAAAGCGAGCGCAGGCGGUUAGAAAAGUCUGAAGUGAAAGGCAGUGGCUCAACCAUUGUAGGCUUUGGAAACUGUUUAACUUGAGUGCAGAAGGGGAGAGUGGAAUUCCAUGUGUAGCGGUGAAAUGCGUAGAUAUAUGGAGGAACACCGGUGGCGAAAGCGGCUCUCUAGUCUGUAACUGACGCUGAGGCUCGAAAGCGUUGGGAGCGAACAGG
This 429-nucleotide ribosomal RNA is filed under the name Bacteroidota bacterium. RNAcentral's name for it is "Bacteroidetes bacterium partial 16S ribosomal RNA". It matches the Rfam family "Bacterial small subunit ribosomal RNA", at positions 355 to 776 of the family's 1533-position model. The record is from RNAcentral. Lineage: Bacteria; Pseudomonadati; Bacteroidota.